UUCCCCCCACUUGCCCUUUGGAGCCUAAGGGCAAGGCUUCUAAACCAGCCAUAACUGAAGCCUCUAUUGGACUAUACUCAUCCUUAGCUGAUUUUCUUCAAGCUUGUCAAGGACAGUAUCAGUUACACGAGGUAAAUGAGCUGGGGCCAUCUCCAAAGAAGAGGAGAAAGAAGAGCACCAACUAGGAACUGAGAAGCAGAAAACCUACAUUAUAAAGUGCUUUCUAAGCAUCUUUAUAGCUUGGGAACCUCUGCCAGCAAGUUACAAAAUACAGCAGCUGGAAUGGUCAUAGGCAGUCAAGAUUUCAGGAGGAUGUGAAGAUGAAGCAGUAAUGGUUCCCUCUACCAAAGAAAAACUGUUUAGCUAAGUAACAAGGAUAAAGUGCCUGCCGUUCCAGUCCGGGGCCCAAGUUUCUGCAAAUAAAGUUUUAUUGGAACAGACCUACACUCAUUCACUUACGUAUUAUGUGUGGCUGCUCCUGUGACACAAUGACCCAAGCUAGCUGAUUAUUUGCAAGAAAACCAUACAGUUCACAAGCCUAAAAUAUUUACCUAUCUUGCCUUUAAGA
Long non-coding RNA from Chinchilla lanigera (long-tailed chinchilla), 568 nucleotides. RefSeq lists it as uncharacterized. The transcript has 3 exons. The record is from RefSeq and is a predicted model, not a curated record. Lineage: Eukaryota; Metazoa; Chordata; Mammalia; Rodentia; Chinchillidae.